Long non-coding RNA from Ailuropoda melanoleuca (giant panda), 408 nucleotides. RefSeq lists it as uncharacterized. NCBI's taxonomy places the organism in Eukaryota, Metazoa, Chordata, Mammalia, Carnivora, Ursidae. The record is from RefSeq and is a predicted model, not a curated record. The transcript is spliced from 3 exons.
GCGGAAGCUUGGCAAGUCUGGGCAGAGAGAAAGAAGGCGACCGCGGGCUGGAUCUCAGCACCCCCACCUAGGUGCCAGGCUGGCUGCCGUCCUUGUGAACUUAGUUGAGGAUGACCAAAAAUAUCGGGGACGAUGGGGGAGGUGAUGACAACACAUUCAACUUUAGCUGGAAGGUAUUCACCAGCUGGGACUACCUGAUUGGCAAUCCGGAAACAGCAGACAACAAAUUCAAUUCUAUCACCAUGAACUUUAAGGAAGCAAUCAUAGAGGAAAGAGCAGCCCAAGUAGAAGAAAACGUUCACUUGAUCAGAUUCCUGAGGUUUCUUGCUAACUUCUUCGUGUUUCUAACACUUGGCGGGAGUGGAUACCUCAUCUUCUGGGCUGUGAAGCGAUCCCAGGAAUUUGCAC